CCGUUGACAAACGGAGGAAGGUGGGGAGUGACGUCAAUCAUCAUGCCCCUUAUGUUCUGGGCUACACACGUGCUACAAUGGCCGGUACAGACGGACGCAAAGCCGCGAGGCGGAGCAAAUCCGAAAAAGCCGGUCUCAGUUCGGAUUGCAGGCUGCAAUUCGCCUGCAUGAAGUCGGAAUCGCUAGUAAUCGCAGGUCAGCAUACUGCGGUGAAUACGUUCCCGGGCCUU
Molecule: ribosomal RNA, 230 nt
Filed under: uncultured Pelotomaculum sp.
Lineage: Bacteria; Bacillati; Bacillota; Clostridia; Eubacteriales; Desulfotomaculaceae
Description: partial 16S ribosomal RNA
Rfam family: Bacterial small subunit ribosomal RNA
Source: RNAcentral